AACGCGAAGAACCUUACCUGGGCUCGAAAUGUACCGGAAUCCGGCAGAAACGUCGGCGUCUAGCAAUAGACCGGUAUAUAGGUGCUGCAUGGCUGUCGUCAGCUCGUGUCGUGAGAUGUUGGGUUAAGUCCCGCAACGAGCGCAACCCUUAUCCCUAGUUGCCAUCGGGUCAAGCCGGGCACUCUAGUGAAACCGCCCCGGAUAACGGGGAGGAAGGUGGGGAUGACGUCAAGUCCUCAUGGCCUUUAUGUCCAGGGCUACACACGUGCUACAAUGGUCGGUACAAACCGUCGCAAACCCGCGAGGGGGAGCUAAUCGGAAAAAGCCGACCUCAGUUCGGAUUGGAGUCUGCAACUCGACUCCAUGAAGCUGGAAUCGCUAGUAAUCGCGGAUCAGAACGCCGCGGUGAAUACGUUCCCGGGCCUUGUACACACCGUAGAGAC
This 443-nucleotide ribosomal RNA is filed under the name uncultured bacterium. RNAcentral's name for it is "bacterial SSU rRNA". It matches the Rfam family "Bacterial small subunit ribosomal RNA", at positions 958 to 1400 of the family's 1533-position model. The record is from RNAcentral.